This 494-nucleotide ribosomal RNA is filed under the name uncultured bacterium. RNAcentral's name for it is "partial 16S ribosomal RNA". It matches the Rfam family "Bacterial small subunit ribosomal RNA", at positions 28 to 507 of the family's 1533-position model. The record is from RNAcentral.
GACGAACGCUGGCGGCGUGCUUAACACAUGCAAGUCGAACGGUGAAGCGCCUUCCUUUUUGGUGGGUGUGGAUGAGUGGCGAACGGGUGAGUAACACGUGAGUAACCUGCCCCCUUCUUCUGGAUAACUGCAUGAAAGUGUGGCUAAUACGGGAUAUUCUGGGUCUGUCGCAUGAUGGGUCUUGGAAAGAUAUUGUUUCGGUGGGGGAUGGGCUCGCGGCCUAUCAGCUUGUUGGUGGGGUGAUGGCCUACCAAGGCGGUGACGGGUAGCCGGCCUGAGAGGGUGGACGGUCACACUGGGACUGAGACACGGCCCAGACUCCUACGGGAGGCAGCAGUGGGGAAUAUUGCACAAUGGGCGCAAGCCUGAUGCAGCGACGCCGCGUGAGGGAUGGAGGCCUUCGGGUUGUGAACCUCUUUCGCCAGUGAAGCAGGCCUGCCUCGUUUGUGGGUGGGUUGACGGUAGCUGGAUAAGAAGCGCCGGCUAACUACGUG